Long non-coding RNA from Beta vulgaris subsp. vulgaris (sugar beet), 2681 nucleotides. RefSeq lists it as uncharacterized. The transcript is spliced from 3 exons. The record is from RefSeq and is a predicted model, not a curated record. NCBI's taxonomy places the organism in Eukaryota, Viridiplantae, Streptophyta, Magnoliopsida, Caryophyllales, Amaranthaceae.
UCUUACUUUCACGCCUAACUUCAGGAAUUAUUUGAAGUUUGUUCUUUGUCCCAAGACAUCCCGAUUGAUAUAGUGCAUACCUCCAUUCAUGAGGGUCAUCUUUGCCACACAUGGAAGUAGCCAGCUGUACAAUCUCAUGUGGAACACCAGAACAUGAAUCUGCAAGUAACAUAGGCAUGUCUCGAAGAGAAGGUCCAGAGCCCUCACUGAUCCUUGCUUCAUGCCUGAACAACUGGGAGUGGAAUUCCUACACGGUCCAGAGAGAAACCAGCUUCUGGCACACCAUCUAAGAAAAGUGCAAACCUGCCAAGACUUGCAAAUGUAUGUGACAACUUCGUAGCCCUUCUACUCACAUCAUCAACUCUAGAAAGAUCACAGUUAACAACUGCAACAACAUACAUCAUCUUGAAAAUUCUUAAUGGUGAACACACAAGGGGAAAGGACCCAGAAAACAUAAUCAAACAUGCCUAUCGCACAAUUGUGCAAGUGCUUCAUCAAAUGGGUUGUCAGCUGUCCCUCAUUUUCAGGUUUUGUUGUCCCGGGUUGUUGCCUCUUGUGGUGCUGCCAUCGCUCUGCUGUUGCUUGCCAUUUUUUGAUUGUUGUCGGUCUCUACUUUGUCGAACCCCAUAACUGGUGUUUUGUUUAAUCGUCUUCUACUUGCAAGAUUUCUGGCGAUUUGUUUGCUGCGUCAAUCGUUCAUUCCUAGUAAUUCGUUGAAUUUCAAAUUCAAUGGUAGUAUCUUUCUCUUGUGUUUGAGUAGUUGAUUUUCUAUCGUCGGCAAAAUCUAUUGUUAAUUCUAAUUUUGAAGUGGCGUUGGUACUAAAUGAAGUUCAUCCUUUGUUGAUUUCAUUAUCUAUUAGGUGUUAAUGUUCAAUCCUAUUACUUUAAUCAAUUUUUUUUUUUUGUUUUUUUUUUGGUUCAUAUUGUCUUCGAAUUUUUACUAGAAUAUUUUAGUUCAGGUUGAUCUUUAUCAGUUCUGAUGAUUAUAUUUGAUGGUUUUUAGCAUGAUAAUAUUCUAUGAUUUUGAUUUACAGUAGACUUAGAGAUUGGGAUUAGUAGUUUCUUUAGCAUUUGAUAUAUUUAUAUUGUUAGUUUUAUUCUUAUUUAGAAGGAUAAGUUUUAGGAUUAGUAGGAUUAGUUUUAGGAUUAGUUGUAGUUUUAGGAUUAGCAGGGGCUGUCAUUAAAAGGUACUAGUAAUUGAGUAGGUCACCUGUAUGUAGAAGUUUUUACUCCUUGUUGGUGCAUGUACAGCUUCAGCCAGUUGUAAUUUUUUUUUUAAAAUAAAAAACUAGCAAAUGCUCCGGUUGUUUAGAAAAAACCGGAGCAUUUGUGAUACAAAUGCUCCAUUUUUUCCUUAACAACCGGAGCAUUUAACAAUCAAAUGCUCCGGUUUUUUAAACAACCGGAGCAUUUGAGACACCAAAUGCUCCGGUUGAAACCGGAGCAUUUGCAAAACGCUCAAAUGCUCGUAUGGCUUCUGCUACGGGUCAAAUACGGAGCAUUUGUGGGCUUUUCAACCGGAGCAAUUGAUGUUUUUUCCACUAGUGAAGAGUUAUGUACCGGGGGUAUUAUAGCUAACGUUGUAAUUAACCUUGUACCCAAAUUCAGAUAACGAGAGUAUAGUAGUUGGAGUAUCUGAUUAUACUGUGUAUUUGGUGUAUAUUUAUGUUUUAAGAAAGGUUUAUUCUUUUUAGUUGGGUGAAAUGAUUUUAUAGUAUUAUAACUACUAUUACUUUGAGGAGAAUAAAGAUCGUUGAAAUGAGACUUUUGGAUUGCGAUCCUAGUUUCUGCUGAUUUUAGGUGUAAGGCCUGAAGGGCAUCCUUAUUAUUUAUAUUUGAUGAAUAAAUUAUUGUAGUUAUUUAUUUGUAGAAAUGUUUUUAUUGAGAUUAGAUAUCCAGUGGGAUAGAUGUAGUCCCCGGUGAAGAACAUGCCAACCACAUUGGUUGCGAUUUAGGGGUAUUACCUGGGUUAAUUAUUGUCGUCCGAGAGGUUGGGAAGUAAUGAGCUGGGUACUAUCCUGCAUCGGGAGUUUGGUCAUUCUUAGACACAGGCAGUAGGGAACGUAAGCUCAUAGGUUGUCUGGAGAUUUCGAUCUGACAAACCUUAGGAAGUGGGUUGCGAUCCACUGGCGUUCUGCUCUUUCUCAAAAGUUAUUUAUAAUAUUUUGUUAAAUUAUUUUGGAGGCUUAUGUUAUGGAUCUUGUAUGCUUAUAUUAAAUUUAUUAAUCAUGAUUUACUUUAUUUAACCAUGUUAAACUGUUAGCAGUUGUUUCGUUGUUAUUUGGUUUAGUUGAUAUUUUAUGUUGAUUGAGACUUAUUUAUUAAUGCUUGAUAACUCCUAUGUGGGUCCUAAUUAAGCUGGGAGAGCUGUUAGUUACUCCCCACUGAUUGUGGAUAUUUGUUGUAUAUUUUUGCAGGUUAUGUUGAUGAGAAUCUUAUUUAAUUUGGUUUUGGGCUCGGGUUAAGUUGUGAGCAUUAAAAUGUUAGAUGUUUUAGGCCUAGACUCUUAUAUCAAUUUAAGAGUUAGUUUUCUCUUUUGGCUAUCAAUUUAAUUUAUUUAUACUAUUUAUUUAUGUUGGUUUUUAUCACUUAGAUAUUUAGACGCAUUUCUUGUAGUAGUGACAUUCCCAUAAGACGAUGUUUCCGCCAUCGUCCUAUACUUCUAUUAUUAUUAUUUCUUU